RNAcentral lists this ribosomal RNA (352 nucleotides) under uncultured bacterium. RNAcentral describes it as "partial 16S ribosomal RNA". It matches the Rfam family "Bacterial small subunit ribosomal RNA", at positions 527 to 881 of the family's 1533-position model. The record is from RNAcentral.
GGAAGGUCCGGGCGUUAUCCGGAUUUAUNGGGUUUAAAGGGAGCGUAGGCCGGAGAUUAAGCGUGUUGUGAAAUGUANACGCUCAACGUCUGCACUGCAGCGCGAACUGGUUUCCUUGAGUACGCACAAAGUGGGCGGAAUUCGUGGUGUAGCGGUGAAAUGCUUAGAUAUGACGAAGAACUCCGAUUGCGAAGGCAGCNUUCUGGGGNGNNACUGACGCUGANGCUCGAAAGUGCGGGAAUCAAACAGGAUUAGAUACCCUGGUAGUCCGCACCGUAAACGAUGAACGCCCGUNNUUGGCCACACANAGUCAGNGACCAAGGGAAACCGUUAAGCGCUCCACCUGGGGAGU